This 492-nucleotide ribosomal RNA is filed under the name uncultured bacterium. RNAcentral describes it as "partial 16S ribosomal RNA". It matches the Rfam family "Bacterial small subunit ribosomal RNA", at positions 29 to 507 of the family's 1533-position model. The record is from RNAcentral.
AGUGAACGCUGGCGGUAGGCCUAACACAUGCAAGCCGAACGGCAGCACAGUAAGAGCUUGCUCUUACGGGUGGCGAGUGGCGGACGGGUGAGGAAUACAUCGGAAUCUACUUUUUCGUGGGGGAUAACGUAGGGAAACUUACGCUAAUACCGCAUACGACCUACGGGUGAAAGCAGGGGAUCUUCGGACCUUGCGCGAUUGAAUGAGCCGAUGUCGGAUUAGCUAGUUGGCGGGGUAAAGGCCCACCAAGGCGACGAUCCGUAGCUGGUCUGAGAGGAUGAUCAGCCACACUGGAACUGAGACACGGUCCAGACUCCUACGGGAGGCAGCAGUGGGGAAUAUUGGACAAUGGGUGCAAGCCUGAUCCAGCCAUACCGCGUGGGUGAAGAAGGCCUUCGGGUUGUAAAGCCCUUUUGUUGGGAAAGAAAAGCAGCAGGUUAAUACCCCGCUGUUCUGACGGUACCCAAAGAAUAAGCACCGGCUAACUUCGUG